GAUGAACGCUAGCGGCAGGCUUAAUACAUGCAAGUCGAGGGGCAACAGGGGGUAGCAAUACCUGCUGGCGACCGGCAAACGGGUGUGGAACACGUACAGAACCUUCCUUUAAGCGGGGGAUAGCCCGGAGAAAUCCGGAUUAAUACCCCAUAGUAUUGUUGGUUGGCAUCAAUUGGCAAAUUAAAGAUUUAUCACUUAGAGAUGGCUGUGCGGCUGAUUAGGUAGUUGGUUGGGGUAAAGGCCCACCAAGCCAUCGAUCAGUAACUGGUGUGAGAGCACGACCAGUCACACGGGCACUGAGACACGGGCCCGACUCCUACGGGAGGCAGCAGUAAGGAAUAUUGGUCAAUGGAGGCAACUCUGAACCAGCCAUGCCGCGUGAAGGAUGAAGGUCCUCUGGAUUGUAAAC
This 409-nucleotide ribosomal RNA is filed under the name uncultured bacterium. Its description in RNAcentral is "bacterial SSU rRNA". It matches the Rfam family "Bacterial small subunit ribosomal RNA", at positions 28 to 430 of the family's 1533-position model. The record is from RNAcentral.